GUGAGUCAUCGAAUCUUUGAACGCAUAUGGCACCUGCCAGCCCUGCUGGAAGGUAUGCCUGUUUGAGAAUCACAUUGCCACUCUGAUCCGAUUGCAUCCACGUGCAGUCAGUCGACAUGGGCCUUCAGCACUGAUCGCCUCGAAUUGCUCGCGAUCGUCGUGGUAGACAGGGAUGUGGCAGCGAUGCCAUCCAGUGUUGUCGACGAUCAAUCCGUGCUCGUGAUCUCAAAUCAGGCAAGACUACCCGCUGAACUUAAGCAUAUCAAUAAGCGGAGGA
Molecule: unclassified non-coding RNA, 277 nt
Filed under: Rozellomycota sp.
Lineage: Eukaryota; Fungi; Rozellomycota
Description: Cryptomycota sp. partial contains 5.8S ribosomal RNA, internal transcribed spacer 2, and large subunit ribosomal RNA
Rfam family: Eukaryotic large subunit ribosomal RNA (bases 221-277)
Source: RNAcentral